RNAcentral lists this transfer RNA (71 nucleotides) under Fukomys damarensis (Damara mole-rat). It matches the Rfam family "tRNA". Rfam says of the family: Transfer RNA (tRNA) molecules are approximately 80 nucleotides in length. Lineage: Eukaryota; Metazoa; Chordata; Mammalia; Rodentia; Bathyergidae. The record is from Rfam by way of RNAcentral.
GGGGACACGACUUAGGGGUAGAGCAUUUGCCUGCAGAGCAAGAAGCCCCGGUUCAAAUUUGGUUGCCCCCA